AAAAAACCAACAGAUGUGACCUUUUUAUGUUUUCAUGCGAACCUUCAACCUUCUAUUAACCAUUAUUAGAGCACUCCUUAUGCAUAUGCAAUCAAAUCCAAUAUCAGCUUGCAUAAACAAAUUCUAGAAAGACCAAAUAUCAGAUGUACUAGCAAGAAGAAAGAAGUUCUAUUUGACCAAGAACUCUUUACGAUUCUAUAUACCCAAAUGAAAAAAUAAAUCUGACUACCCAACUGAAGACAAGGAUUAUUAAAAGCUUUGAUACACAGACUUUUUUAUUAUAAAAUUUGAAGAAUUCACUUGUGGAAAUUACAAGAAACUAAAAAAUACAUCAAUCAAUUACGCAAGAGAGUCCAACUAAAAUUCACAAUGAGCUAUCAGGAAACCUUAAAAAGGCUCAGAGUUUCCAAGUAUCAAAUUAAAAAAAUGAAUUCAACAGGAACACAGGUUCAACUAACCUCCAUUGAGCCAAAGAGUGAGGGGCUUCUUGCCAGGCUCCUUGCUCCUCCCAGCUUUCACAUCCACAUCAACAUACCCAGCAUACUGCUUGAACCCAACAGUUGGCUGAUUAGGCAACCUCACCACCAGAUCCGGUGAAAAGGAUCAAAGGAACCAACCACCAUUGAGACAAACAAUGAGGGGCUUCUUUGUCGGUGUCUGUUUCUGCUUCAACAAAGUUGCAGAAUACUGCUGGGAUAGAAAUUCUGUUUUUACUGUGUAAUCUUGCUGAGAUAGAGGCCUUGGGAUGUAGCAUGCAUAGUGUCACGGCCCGCAUGUUCAAGGCCCAACCCAUUGGAUUGAUUAUGCUAGACCUCUUAGCCCACAUGUCCAGAUUCGUUGUACAGUAGUAGGUAGACUACAGUUGGUAACAGUAGUUGGUAGAUGCCGGUAGGUGACAUUGUAUCUUAGCCACCUACCAUGAUGGUAGGUGGGAUAGAGAAAGUAUAUAAGGAGGAUGACACAAUGUGUAUCCUCACCUCACAACUUGUAAAGCAUUGAGUAGCAAUACAAGCAUAUAUUCCCCCAAACUUUCUUAAGCGUUUUUACUGUGUUCUUGCUCUUGCGAUUGUUCUUUGCUUGGUUCGAUCUUGUAUUGUACGAAGGAGGCUGACUUAGCUUGUUGGAGAGGCGAUCAAGUCUAAGGCCGCACGGAAGGAAGACUCCGAAAAAGUCAUCCUGUGACAGUUGGUAUCAGAGCGAAAGCUCGAAUAAUUCGAAGAAGCAUGUCGAAGAGCGGAUCAGAUGUGGAGACAGACUUGUCCAAGGUCAAUAUGGAUCGUGGGGGCAAAUCAAAGAGGGAACGAUCUAGAGAUGUGGUAGCCAUGAUGGAGAAGCGGCUUUCUAAGAUGAAGAUUGCCAUGGUCGAGUUCGAUCAGCGACUCGAGGAGGACGUUCUUACGAAGACGAGCUUCAAAGCUUUGGUGGAAGAGCUUCAAGGCCAAUUCCAUGGAGCCCUUAACUUCGCGCUAGACAUCAUCAAGCUAGAUGUUCAAACCAAGAUGGAUCACUUCUUAGCGGAGCUUACUUCACUUCGUGAUGAGGUGAAGGAUGUGAAGGGAGAUUGGGCUUUGUGCAAGGAAGCUGUCUUGAACAAGACUCGGACUCCGAAGGAACCCCAGGUGCUAGAUUCUUUCAAGCCCAAAUCCUAUAAUGGGAAGAGGGAGGUGAAGGAGCUGGACACUUUCUUGUGGAAUAUCAAAAGGUAUUUCAAGUAUCUGAAGCUCGAUGAUGAUGAGCCCAAGAUCAAUACGGCAACAUUGUUUCUCGCCGAUAAUGCUCUCAUGUGGUGGCGUCGUCAAUCUAUAGAGAUCGAAUAAGGUACGUUUACAUUUGAGACUUGGGAAGAUUUUAAGAAGGAUAUUAUGUUGCAUUUCUAUCCUGAGAAUGCCAAGUAUGAGGCAAAGGAGAAGCUGAGAUGGCUAAAGCAAACUGGGAGCGUGAAAGACUAUGUCACCACGUUCACCAACCUGUUGUUCGAGGUGCCUAGCAUGACAGAUGAAGACAAGCUCAUGUACUUCAUGAGUGGCCUACAGAAUUAGGCCAAGCUGGAGUUACAAAGGAGACACAUCCAAACCUUGUCAGAGGCAAUUGCUGCAGCUGAGUCUCUUGUUGAGUUCAAGAGGAGUGAUCAAGGCGACUACAAGUUCAAAGGAAAGAAAGGUGGCAAUGGAUCUGGUGGGGAAGAAAACAAGCCAAAAGAGGAUAGCAGGUCAGGAGACAAGUCUGACGGUCACAAGUCAUCCUGGAAAAAGAAUGACAAAGGUGACAAGGGGAAAGACAAGUCGAAGCUAGCUUGUUACUUGUGCGAUGGAGCUCACAUGAUGCGGGAUUGUCCGCAAAAGAAAGCUCUGAAUGCUAUGAACCAAGUGAAGGAAGAUGAGGCCGACAAGGAAGCAAGAAUGGGGGCCAUUCACCGCUUGAAUGCUGUAUAGAACAAAGUCGCUCAACCACAGGUUCAGGCUAAAUGAGUGAUGUUCGUCAACUCGAUGGUGAAUGGCAAUACAACCCGUUGCCUGGUGGAUACAGGUGCCUCGCACAACUUUAUGUCCGUGCAGGAAGCAAAGAGACUUGGGUGUCGAGUCUCGAAGGAAGCAGGCAGUAUGAAGACGGUGAAUUCAACUGCCAAGCCAAUUAAUGGAGUAGCUCAUGGUGUGGAGCUACACAUUGCCACUUGAAAAGAAGUAGCUGACUUCUCUGUGAUCCCGAUGGAUAACUAUGAUGUCGUGCUAGGAAUGGAGUUCAUGGACGAGGUAAAGGCAUUUCCCAUUCCAUUUUACAAUACUAUGUGCAUUGCAUAGGGUGAAGCAAUGUCAUGCAUGGUGUCAGUGGUAAGGCAAUAAGGCGAGUCGAAGCUCUUGUCAGCCAUGCAACUUUUCGAGUCUUAGAAGAAGCGCGAACCGACGUUCCUUGCAACUAUGAAGACGGACACAGUUGAGAAGGAAGUCAAACCAGUCCCUAAAGUGAUGGAGGCAGUCCUUAAGGAGUUUGCAGAUGUCAUGCCCAAGGAGCUGCCCAAAGCCUUAACACCUAGGAGAGAGGUGGAUCAUGCAUUCGAUGAGUUGAAGAGGGCACCUAUGGAGGAACCAACGCUGAGACUACCCGAUCUUAGCAAACCUUUGGAGGUACACAUUGAUGCAUUAUAUUUUGCUAUUGGUGGUGUAUGCAUGCAGGAUGGACACCUAUUGGCUUCCGAGAGUCGGAAGCUCAGUGACACGGAGCAGAGGAUACGAGAGGGCUUGUUGCAUGAUCCCCAAACCAAAAGUCUGUUGGAGCUUAUCAAAGAUGGGAAGACAAGAAGAUUUUGGCUCGAUGAUGGUGUUCUUUAUGCAACAGGGAAGAAGAUCUAUGCUCCAAGGUGGGACAAUCUGAGGCACUAUGUGAGUGUCAACCAACGAGAUUGGGCAAAAUUGUUGGAUGUUGCUUAGUUCUAGUACAACUUGCAGCGGUCGGAGUCGACAGGGUCAAGUUCUUUUGAGUUGGCAAUAGGACAACAACCUGACACCGAACACAGUGGUGUCAGGCUACACAGGGAGUAGUCAUGCUGCAUACAAGACGGCUAAGGAGUGGCAGAUGACUAAUGAGCUGGCUCGGGCUCAAUUAGAGAAGGCAACUCGGAAGAUGAUGAAAUGGGCGGACAAGCAUCGGCGGGACGUUGUGUUCGAACCAGGUGAUCUGGUCUUUGUGAAGCUCAACCCUUCUCAACACAAGUCCAUUAGAAGAUUGCACAAGGCGUUGUUGAGGAGAUAUGAGGCUCCAUUUCCUAUCAUCCGAUCGGUGGGAAGAGCUGCUUACCACGUGGAACUACCACCUCGAUUGAAGAUUCAUCCGGUGUUCCACACGAGCAAUUAUAGAAGGCAACUCGGAAGAUGAUGAAAUGGGCGGACAAGCAUCGGCGGGACGUUGUGUUCCAACCAGGUGAUCUGGUCUUUGUGAAGCUCAACUCUUCUCAACACAAGUCCAUUAGAAGAGUCCAUUAGAAGAUUGCACAAGGCGUUGUUGAGGAUAUAUGAGGCUCCAUUUCCUAUCAUCCGAUCGGUGGGAAGAGCUACUUACCAGGUGGAACUACCACCUCGAUUGAAGAUUCAUCCGGUGUUCCACACGAGCAAUCUCAAGCCCUACUAUGCCGACACCGAGGAGCCAAGUCGUGGAGAGUCUCAACGAGCUCUACCUUUGAUGGUGACUUCAUUUGACAGGGAGGUUGAGUGCAUCAUGGCCAAGCGAGAGGUGCGACGCAAGGGUGUACCGAGGUAUUUUAAGUACUUUGUCAAAUGGAAGGGCCUGCCAGAGUCCGAAGGCAAUUGGGAGAAAGAAGAGUCCUUGUGGAAGUACAAGGAUAUCAUCGAAGCAUUCAAACGAGACGGAUCUACCGCGGCAACGAGGACGUUACCGGAUUAGGUAGGGGAGAAUGUCACAGCCCGCAUGUUCAAAGCCCAACCCAUUGGAUUGAUCAUGCUAGACCUCUUAGCCCACACGUCCAGAUUCGUUGUACAGUAGUAGGUAGACAACGGUUGGUGACAGUAGUUGGUAGAUGCCGGUAGGUGACAUUGUAUCUUAGCCACCUACCAUGAUGGUAGGUGGGAUAGAGAAAAUAUAUAAGGAGGAUGACACAAUGUGUAUCCUUACCUCACAACUUGUAAAGCAUUGAGUAGCAAUACAAGCAUAUAUUC
This 4667-nucleotide long non-coding RNA is filed under the name Prunus persica (peach). RNAcentral's name for it is "long non-coding RNA (PPER_LNC005780)". The record is from RNAcentral. Lineage: Eukaryota; Viridiplantae; Streptophyta; Magnoliopsida; Rosales; Rosaceae.